RNAcentral lists this long non-coding RNA (1117 nucleotides) under Marmota monax (woodchuck). Lineage: Eukaryota; Metazoa; Chordata; Mammalia; Rodentia; Sciuridae. The record is from RNAcentral.
GGAGUUUCUUUAACCUCAUGAAUGAUGGGAAUGGAGGGAGGAUGGGAACAGGAAAUACAAUAGAAUGUGGACAUAACUUUCGUAUUUUCAUAUAAAAACACAUGACCAGCAUAACUCCACAUCAUGUACAACCACAAGAAUAAGAAGUUAUACUCCAUGUAUGUAUAAUAUGUCAAAAACAUACUCUACCAUCAUAUACAUGAUUUUAUUUUCAUUUCACAAAACAAAAUUAAAUGGCAAAGGUGAUGACAAAAAUAACAGAAUAUCCUUAGAGACUGGGACUCUAACUGCAGAGAUAGCAAGUAGAGAAAUGACCCCAUUCAAAUAUGGGAUGGUAACAUGUCAGUGACUAGUGUGUUGAGAAAACCAGCAGAGAAAAUAGUAGGCAACCAUGGGAAACAAACACUUGUGUUUAAAAGGUAUCUUUAUAUACAGAACUUGGUCUUUCAGAUAGUCACAUGUUUUCUAAGCUGACAUUGGUGCACUCAGAGCUAGUUAUCACAAUGCAGGAAGAAAGAAGUAUAGAGCCAUCUUUUCCUUGAGUCAUAAGAUUGGUGAGAGAUGAGGUUUUGCACACGGAAGAAUUAAAGGUAUAUUGAUUCACACUGUAAAAUAUUUUAAAACCCCUUUGCCUAAUAUCUGAAGGUUCUAUGAAGGAACAAGAUGUAUGACCAUAACCAAGAGGUAAAAAAUUGAAUUUAGAGGCUUUUUGUAGUUAAUUGGGAGGACAGGAACAGGGCUACACAUAAUGACAAGGGCUUGAGGUCGGGAACCUAGGAAGAGCUGAUAAAGUGCUUUCUGUACAAACAAAAACUAAAACCCUUUCUAUUUCUCCCAAGUGAUUUUCUGUAAACAUUAAAAUAUUCCACUGAUGGAGAGCUUCAUAUUCUGUCACUAAACUCUGGAAUUUUUUUUAAUCAAAGUAGAUUUGCUUUUUUAAGAAAAGAGAUAAAUUAUUUUUAUUAUUUUCUGUUCAUAGUAAAAUUUUUGUCUGUAUAAGAGACAAUAGAGAGAAAAGAAAAAAAACAUAUUCCCUACUACACAGAGACAAUCAACAUUACGAUUUUGGUGUAUGUUUCUCCAAAUAUUAUCUAUGUAUGCAUACACACGUUAAAAU